GGGGUUGUAGCUCAGUUGAUAGAGCGCUGCGUUCGCAAUGCAGAGGUCGUGGGUUUGAGCCCCAUCAACUCCACCA
RNAcentral lists this transfer RNA (76 nucleotides) under Rickettsiales bacterium. RNAcentral describes it as "tRNA-Ala". It matches the Rfam family "tRNA". From Rfam's summary of the family: Transfer RNA (tRNA) molecules are approximately 80 nucleotides in length. Their secondary structure includes four short double-helical elements and three loops (D, anti-codon, and T loops). Lineage: Bacteria; Pseudomonadati; Pseudomonadota; Alphaproteobacteria; Rickettsiales. The record is from RNAcentral.